This 85-nucleotide transfer RNA is filed under the name Nitrospinota bacterium. Its description in RNAcentral is "tRNA-Leu". It matches the Rfam family "tRNA". Rfam says of the family: Transfer RNA (tRNA) molecules are approximately 80 nucleotides in length. Lineage: Bacteria; Pseudomonadati; Nitrospinota. The record is from RNAcentral.
GCGAGAAUGGCGGAACUGGUAGACGCGCUGGAUUUAGGAUCCAGUGCCCUAGGGCAUGGGGGUUCGAGUCCCCCCCUUCGCACCA